UACGUAGGGGGCAAGCGUUGUCCGGAAUUAUUGGGCGUAAGGCGCGCGCAGGCGGUCAUUUAAGUCUGGUGUUUAAUCCUAGGGCUCAACCCUAGGUCGCACUGGAAACUGGGUGACUUGAGUACAGAAGAGGAAAGUGGAAUUCCACGUGUAGCGGUGAAAUGCGUAGAGAUGUGGAGGAACACCAGUGGCGAAGGCGACUUUCUGGGCUGUACUGACGCUGAG
RNAcentral lists this ribosomal RNA (225 nucleotides) under uncultured bacterium. RNAcentral describes it as "partial 16S ribosomal RNA". It matches the Rfam family "Bacterial small subunit ribosomal RNA", at positions 524 to 750 of the family's 1533-position model. The record is from RNAcentral.